This 895-nucleotide ribosomal RNA is filed under the name uncultured bacterium. RNAcentral's name for it is "bacterial SSU rRNA". It matches the Rfam family "Bacterial small subunit ribosomal RNA", at positions 8 to 916 of the family's 1533-position model. The record is from RNAcentral.
AGAGUUUGAUCCUGGCUCAGAAUCAACGCUGGCGGCGUGCCUCAGACAUGCAAGUCGAACGAUUAAACUUUCCUUUCGGGAAAGAUAUAAAGUGGCGCACGGGUGAGUAACACGUAGGUAAUGUACCUUUGGGUGGGGAAUAACUUAGGGAAACUUAAGCUAAUACCGCAUAAUGCAGCGGCUCCUUCGGGAGACAGUUGUUAAAGAUUUAUCGCCUAAAGAGCAGCCUGCGGCAGAUUAGCUAGUUGGUAAGGUAACGGCUUACCAAGGCUACGAUCUGUAUCCGACCUGAGAGGGUGGUCGGACACACUGACACUGAAUAACGGGUCAGACUCCUACGGGAGGCAGCAGUCGGGAAUUUUGGGCAAUGGGCGAAAGCCUGACCCAGCAACGCCGCGUGAAGGAUGAAGUCUCUCGGGAUGUAAACUUCGUAAGAAUAGGAAGAAUAAAUGACGGUACUAUUUGUAAGGUCCGGCUAACUACGUGCCAGCAGCCGCGGUAAUACGUAGGGACCAAGCGUUGUUCGGAUUUACUGGGCGUAAAGGGCGCGUAGGCGGCAAUUCAAGUCAGUUGUGAAAUCUCCGAGCUUAACUCGGAACGGUCAACUGAUACUGCUUUGCUAGAGUACAGAAGGGGCAAUCGGAAUUCUUGGUGUAGCGGUGAAAUGCGUAGAUAUCAAGAGGAACACCUGAGGUGAAGACGGGUUGCUGGGCUGAUACUGACGCUGAGGCGCGAAAGCUAGGGUAGCAAACGGGAUUAGAUACCCCGGUAGUCCUAGCCCUAAACGAUGAAUACUUGGUGUCUGGAGUUUUAUUCUCCGGGUGCCGUCGCUAACGUUUUUAGUAUUCCGCCUGGGGAGUACGCACGCAAGUGUGAAACUCAAAGGAAUUGACGG